CGGAGCGCGCGCCGCUGCCCAGCCCGGCCGCCCGGCCGCGCAGCUAGAUGGUGGCCCCGCGGCCCGCGCCCGCCCGGGGGCCCGCGCUCCCGCUUCUGCUCCUGCUCCUGCUGGCCGCCGCGCGGGGCCAGGAACAGGACCAGACCACCGACUGGAGGGCCACCCUCAAGACCAUCCGCAACGGCAUCCACAAGAUCGACACGUACCUCAACGCCGCGCUCGACCUGCUGGGCGGCGAGGACGGGCUCUGCCAGUACAAGUGCCGCGACGGAUCGAAGCCUCUUCCACGCUAUGGAUUUAAACCGUCCCCACCAAAUGGAUGUGGCUCUCCAUUGUUCGGUGUUCAUCUGAACGUUGGCAUCCCGUCCCUGACAAAGUGCUGCAACCAGCACGACAAGUGCUACGAGACCUGUGGGAAAAGCAAGAACGACUGUGACGAGGAGUUCCAGUACUGCCUCUCCAAGAUCUGCCGGGGCGUGCAGAAGACUCUAGGGCUCGCUCAGAACGUCCAGGGUAAGGAGGGGCCUGCAGCCGGGAUUCAGAUGUUUUUAAUAUUGCAGUAAACACGUACGUGCUCAGUAUAAAAGCAUACCAAAGGAGCUUCUUCACAUUCAUCAACUGUUAGGAUACAUCCUCUUCAGUUGCCUGGAGUGAGGAGCUAGCCGGUCGUUUGGUAAUCUAAAAUUAUACACACAGCUGAGAAAACUUGGAGGAGUAUCUGAGGCAGAGAAGGGAAGAAUUCAUGUACCUUGUGCCUGGAAUAUGUAUCGAAUCCUUCCAAAGCUAAACAUUGAAGCCUUGAAGCCUUGAAGCAGGUUGGCAUAGGGAUGUUGUAAUAAAAUGUAAUAGGUUGAAGUUGGUUAUAGGCAACAGAACCCUCUAUGGCCAAAUGUGGUCAGCUAGUCACUAACUCCGCCCUCUGAUUCAAGGUAAACUUUAUUGUCAGUCUCGGAGUGUCAGUGCGAACAAACCCCACAACAAUAGACAGUCGUAGCACCAGUGAAUUUGAGAGUGCAGUACAGCUGCUAGAUUGACAGCUCAUGUGCCAUGAUCCCAGAACUCAGGAGGCUGCAUGUUGCAUGGCUUUUCCUGGGGAUUUGUAAAGAAACAUCUGUUCAUACUAGAGAGGGCACCAGUAACAGUCCAAAGAAACAGGUCCAUCAAAGUCCAGCUUGGUAAGCCCGUGAGUUCAGUGAGGUUCCGUACAGGAACACAGGUGACGUCACUGGAAGCUCCACUCCAGCAUGGGUGACGAGAACUUGGGAAUGCUGCUUCAUUAGAGUCCCGAGCUCCAAUCCACCUUCCACUUCGUGUGCACACUUGCGUCCUUAGGACCAAGGACAGCUGGGAUGCACACGGAAAAGGUGGCUGGAGUCUCAGGGAGGGCACAUUCACAGCCCCUCUACUAUCACAUCACCACAGACCAGCUUUCGCUGUAGCGUUUCACUUCUUUUAUGGUCAUGACUGUAGUGCCCAGGCGUCCUGUGGGUCACGGCAGCAGUCUGCUCCAUGAUGACUGACGGUCAGGUCAGGUCCAGAGAAAACAGCUUCACAACAAUGCUGCACCCUUUAGCUCUUGUAUUCUUUCUGCUCUCUCUUGCUCCCCUUAACCAUUUUUUGUGAUAUUCCCUGAGCCUUGGAGAGGUGAGAGGUAGAGGUAGGUAAGUAUGUAAGAGCACGUGUAUGCAUGCGUGCGUGCGUAUGUUGUGUGUGUGUGUGUGUGUGCGCGUGCACGCACAUGCCCACAUACGCAUGUGGGCAAUUCUUUUCUGAGAGUGGGUCUCUAUGCCAUGACAGCAGAUACUUAUCCUCAGCAUGUGAUCAGUUAUGAGACUCAACAGUAAGCAGUACCCACUGUAAAAAUAAGCCUUCCUCCAUGAACAAAGCACACAGCAGCAAAAAUCUGUGGGCAUCGACAAGAAUGAGCAUGUAACUGGCAAUUUAACAAGCAUAUCAUGUCUAUUUAACAAAACAGCAUUGCUCUUCACAGUGCAGCCUGCGAUUUCCCCCGGGGUUUUGCCUUGGCUUGCAUACCGAACAUGAAUUCCCUGUGUAUGACAGGCCUUAAAUCCGAUCAGAAAGUAGUUGGCUGUGCCCAUAACAACUGUACCAUAGGACAUCAGUGGGCACACCUUACAUGGCGUGUUGGUGGUAUCAGCACAAAGGGCCAUCCCAAAGCUGAACAGUUUUUGACAAUACUUCCCUAGCAAGCUAUCAUGUUCCAGCCUGCAUAUGUUAGCCAUCAGGAAGAAACUUCCAGACUGCUCCCAACCCAAUUUCAUCGUCUUAUAAAGCCCAGCAAUAGGGCUUACUAUCCAGUUAUGGCAUGUGACAAGAACAGGGCAGUGGAAAUGAUUCCAGUAAGCUUGUUGGUGUAACUUACAGGGACAUGGGUGAGUACUCUAAAGCACCCGCCCUCCCUAGAGUAGAUGACGACUCACAACAGCUACAUCACAGAUGUCCCAGCCUCCAGUCAGCCUUGUCCUAAGCCAAGCUGAAGUGUCUGUUCAAGUAGGAGCAUUAAUAAGACUUUCUACUGGAAAGCCAAAGAAUGCUCUCUGCAAUAAAGUCAGAAGUGGCAAAGAGAAAGGCAAGAAAGAAGCCAGGCGGUGGUGGUGCACGCCUUCAAUCGCAGCUCUCGGGAGGCAGAGGCAGGCGGAUCUCUGAGAGUUUGAGGCCAGCCUGGACUGUAGAACGAGUUCCAGGACAGGCU
Molecule: RNA transcript, 2713 nt
Organism: Arvicola amphibius (Eurasian water vole)
Lineage: Eukaryota; Metazoa; Chordata; Mammalia; Rodentia; Cricetidae
Gene: Pla2g12a
Gene name: phospholipase A2 group XIIA
Exons: 4
Source: RefSeq, a predicted model, not a curated record